This 253-nucleotide ribosomal RNA is filed under the name uncultured bacterium. RNAcentral describes it as "partial 16S ribosomal RNA". It matches the Rfam family "Bacterial small subunit ribosomal RNA", at positions 524 to 776 of the family's 1533-position model. The record is from RNAcentral.
UACGGAGGGUGCAAGCGUUAUCCGGAUUUUCUGGGUUUAAAGGGUGCGUAGGUGGGUCUGUAAGUCAGUGGUGAAAUCUCCGAGCUUAACUCGGAAACUGCCAUUGAUACUAUAGGUCUUGAAUUAUCUGGAGGUAAGCGGAAUAUGUCAUGUAGCGGUGAAAUGCUUAGAUAUGACAUAGAACACCAAUUGCGAAGGCAGCUUACUACGGAUUGAUUGACACUGAGGCACGAAAGCGUGGGGAUCAAACAGG